CGGGACGGGGUGGAGGGAAUACAUCGGAAUCUACUCUGUCGUGGGGGAUAACGUAGGGAAACUUACGCUAAUACCGCAUACGACCUACGGGUGAAAGCAGGGGAUCUUCGGACCUUGCGCGAUUGAAUGAGCCGAUGUCGGAUUAGCUAGUUGGCGGGAUAAAGGCCCACCAAGGCGACGAUCCGUAGCUGGUCUGAGAGGAUGAUCAGCCACACUGGAACUGAGACACGGUCCAG
This 236-nucleotide ribosomal RNA is filed under the name uncultured bacterium. RNAcentral describes it as "partial 16S ribosomal RNA". It matches the Rfam family "Bacterial small subunit ribosomal RNA", at positions 104 to 334 of the family's 1533-position model. The record is from RNAcentral.